UGUUGUUAUUGUUGUUUAAAUCUUCCUGGAAGGCAGAAAGAAAGAGAUAAAAAGGAAAAAACAGCAUUUGUCACUUAUAGUGCUCUGGUUAGCACAGUAGCUGGGCCCCUGAACCCUCUACAGGCCUCCCAAGCUGGCACUGAAUAAAAUGUGAGAAAUGAAAGGAACUUUUCCGUGAGUCUGGCAGCGCCGACAGACACUGAGGUGGCAGAGCUGUCUGGUCCCAGUCCACAUGCAGAGGCCUGCAGCUCCUCCUUCCAGCCCGCACCCACCAGAGCUUCUCAGACGGGCCGUGUCCUGAGAAGGUUGUUGCCAAUGUAGAUGUUUGAGAGGCUCACUGAUGAACAAAUCAACAGAGCAGAUUUAAUCUGAAGAGAUCCAAAUAUUGUGCUUCUUUGGACUCAUAGAAAUGGCGAAAGAUUUAACAUCAGGAAGUACUUAAGUCAGCUAAUUUCUAGAGCCUUCUUCCUCCCUGUCACUUGAUUCUAGAUAGGAUCACCAGUUAGACAUCAGAACCAGAUCUUUUUAUCCAGAGAAGUACCAGUUUGUUGUUUUUCCUUCCGAAGCCAAGUCCUCGAGUUUCAGGAAAGCAAAAAGCCCCGAAGAGCCUGGCUUGGAAUAAAAACAUGCACCAUACAAGAUUUUUAUGAAGAUUAAAUAACUUGGGCUAAAAUAUUCUGGAAGCUGCCAAGGGCUCUACAGAUGAGCUAUACAGAGGCAUUUGCUGAAAACUGGCCUGGAUUGACAAGCGCAAUGCAAACGUGGCUGCGGCAGUUCCAGGCAUCACAUGGUAACAAGAUCACAUCCAGUGAAGAAGGAAUUCUCAUAAGACAGUCAGCAGAUUUUGCAGGUUUUCAACUGAUUGGAUGAGGUUCACCUACAUUAUGGAGGACAGUCUGCUUUACUCAAAGUCCAUCAAUGUAAAUUCCUGCAAGGUGGAUAUCACUCUCACCUUCAGCGCACAAAGAAAGGAGGUAUACAGAAGACACAGAACUCACCAAAGUCACAGGAACUAGGUGAGGAUGAACCAGGCUGCAUCCAAGCAGCCCAGCUUCAGGGUCUGUAUUCUUUGCCACUACCCAGAACUUUUACCAAUAAGCAAAGCUAUUGUUUGCAAUAACAGGAAGCAAAAAUAGCAAAAAGUUCCCUUUAAGGGGGAGUGUUAUAAUAUACUUAACAAUCAGAAUGGCUGAAGCACUGAUCUGUGAGAGUGGCUACUGGUCAUAGCCUGGAGCUGGUCUUUUAGGUCCUCUUUGGUUACUGGAUCCUGGGAGGAUGGAUGAGGAAGUGGUCUCAGGCAAGGGGUGGAGUUAAGUGGCUGUGGAAGGUACUUUGGAGGCUCAGGCAGCAGCUUUUUUUCCCCUUAAACUUUUGUUUUAAGUUCUAGGGUACACGUGCAGGAUGUGCAGUUUACAUAGGUAAACGUGUGCCGUGGUGGUUUGCUGUACAGAACAAACCAUCACUCAGGUAUUAUUAAGCCCAGCACCCAUUAGCUAUUCUUUCUGAUGCUUUCCCUCUCCCAACUUCCACCCGACAGGCCCCAGUGUGUGUUGUUCCCCUCCCUCUGUUCUCAUUGUUCAGCUCCCACUUAUAAGU
Molecule: long non-coding RNA, 1596 nt
Filed under: Homo sapiens (human)
Lineage: Eukaryota; Metazoa; Chordata; Mammalia; Primates; Hominidae
Description: HSALNT0319771
Source: RNAcentral